AGUGAACGCUGGCGGCAGGCCUAACACAUGCAAGUCGAGCGGCAGCGCGGGGGCAACCCUGGCGGCGAGCGGCGGACGGGUGAGGAAUGCAUCGGAAUCUACCUCGUUGUGGGGGAUAACCUCGGGAAACCGGGACUAAUACCGCAUACGACCUACGGGUGAAAGUGGGGGACCUUCGGGCCUCACGCGAUGAGAUGAGCCGAUGCCGGAUUAGCUAGUUGGCGGGGUAAAGGCCCACCAAGGCGACGAUCUGUAGCUGGUCUGAGAGGAUGAUCAGCCACACUGGAACUGAGACACGGUCCAGACUCCUACGGGAGGCAGCAGUGGGGAAUAUUGGACAAUGGGCGCAAGCCUGAUCCAGCCAUGCCGCGUGUGUGAAGAAGGCCUCGGUUGUAAG
This 397-nucleotide ribosomal RNA is filed under the name uncultured bacterium. RNAcentral's name for it is "bacterial SSU rRNA". It matches the Rfam family "Bacterial small subunit ribosomal RNA", at positions 30 to 429 of the family's 1533-position model. The record is from RNAcentral.